CUCCCAGCAGAAGAGGAGAGGAGGUUGUGUGGGACAAGUUGCUCCCGACAGAAGGAUGUCGCUGCUGAGCCUGCCCUGGCUGGGCCUCAGACAGGUGGCAAUAUCCCCAUGGCUACUCCUGCUGCUGGUUGUGGGCUCCUGGCUACUCACCCGCAUCCUGGCUUGGACCUAUGCCUUCUAUAACAACUGCCGCCGGCUCCAGUGUUUCCCACAGCCCCCAAAACGGAACUGGUUUUGGGGUCACCUGGGCCUGAUCACUCCUACAGAGGAGGGCUUGAAGGACUCGACCCAGAUGUCAGCCACCUAUUCCCAGGGCUUUACGCUGCCAUUGCACUCAAGGAUGAUCUCUCCAUCAGGUUCCUGAAGCCCUGGCUGGGUGAGUACCUGCAGGUGAAAGGGGUUGGGGACAACCUUGCAGGGACGGUAGGGGAAGUGCUGCUCUUGCCCACUGUCCUUGGCUGCCCUGCCAGGGGAUGGGCUCCUGCUGAGUGGCGUUGACAAGUGGAGCCGCCACCGUCGGAUGCUGACACCCGCCUUCCAUUUCAACAUCCUGAAGUCCUAUAUAACGAUCUUCAACAAGAGUGCAAACAUCAUGCUUGACAAGUGGCAGCACCUGGCCUCAGAGGGCAGCAGUCGUCUGGACAUGUUUGAGCACAUCAGCCUCAUGACCUUGGACAGUCUGCAGAAAUGCAUCUUCAGCUUUGACAGCCAUUGUCAGGAGAGGCCCAGUGAAUAUAUUGCCACCAUCUUGGAGCUCAGUGCCCUUGUAGAAAAAAGAAACCAGCAUAUCCUCCAGCACAUGGACUUUCUGUAUUACCUCUCCCAUGACGGGCGGCGCUUCCACAGGGCCUGCCGCCUGGUGCAUGACUUCACAGACGCUGUCAUCCGGGAGCGGCGUCGCACCCUCCCCACUCAGGGUAUUGAUGAUUUUCUCAAAGACAAAGCCAAGUCCAAGACUUUGGAUUUCAUUGAUGUGCUUCUGCUGAGCAAGGAUGAAGAUGGGAAGGCAUUGUCAGAUGAGGAUAUAAGAGCAGAGGCUGACACCUUCAUGUUUGGAGGCCAUGACACCACGGCCAGUGGCCUCUCCUGGGUCCUGUACAACCUUGCGAGGCACCCAGAGUACCAGGAGCGCUGCCGACAGGAGGUGCAAGAGCUUCUGAAGGACCGCGAUCCUAAAGAGAUUGAAUGGGACGACCUGGCCCAGCUGCCCUUCCUGACCAUGUGCGUGAAGGAGAGCCUGAGGUUACAUCCCCCAGCUCCCUUCAUCUCCCGAUGCUGCACCCAGGACAUUGUUCUCCCAGAUGGCCGAGUCAUCCCCAAAGGCAUUACCUGCGUCAUCAAUAUUAUAGGGGUCCAUCACAACCCAACUGUGUGGCCGGAUCCUGAGGUGCUGCCUUCCCCAUUCACCACCACCACCCCUAUCCUCUACUUUUGUGUGUGUGUGUGUGAAUUCCAAGGUUCCUAGUGGAGGGGGCAGGGUUUUGAUGAGGAAAAUCCAACAUCACCUUGCCCCAAAACACACACAACUGUCUCUCCAAGGCUGCUGGACAUAGGAAAUCCCACGGGCGAACCUUCUUUGUCUCACCUGCAGGUCUACGACCCCUUCCGCUUUGACCCAGAGAACAGCAAGGGGAGGUCCCCUCUGGCUUUUAUUCCGUUCUCCGCAGGGCCCAGGAACUGCAUCGGGCAGGCGUUCGCCAUGGCGGAGAUGAAAGUGGUCCUGGCGUUGAUGCUGCUGCACUUCCGGUUCCUGCCAGACCACACUGAGCCCCGCAGGAAGCCGGAACUGAUCAUGCGCGCCGAGGGCGGGCUUUGGCUGCGGGUGGAGCACCUGAAUGUAGGCUUGCAGUGACUUUCUGACCCAUCCACCUGUCUUUUUGCAGAUUGUCAUGAAUAAAACGGUGCUGUCACCUCU
RNAcentral lists this small RNA (1915 nucleotides) under Pan troglodytes (chimpanzee). RNAcentral describes it as "retained intron". The record is from RNAcentral. Lineage: Eukaryota; Metazoa; Chordata; Mammalia; Primates; Hominidae.